UACGUAGGGGCCGAGCGUUGUCCGGAGUUACUGGGCGUAAAGCGCGCGCAGGCGGCCACUUAAGCCCGGCGUGAAAGCCCCCGGCUCAACCGGGGAGGGUCGUCGGGGACUGGGUGGCUUGAGGACGGCAGGGGCUGGUGGAAUCCCCGGUGUAGUGGUGAAAUGCGUAGAGAUCGGGGGGAACACCCGUGGCGAAGGCGGCCAGCUGGGCCGGUCCUGACGCUGAGGCGCGAAAGCCAGGGAGCGAACGGG
This 252-nucleotide ribosomal RNA is filed under the name uncultured bacterium. Its description in RNAcentral is "partial 16S ribosomal RNA". It matches the Rfam family "Bacterial small subunit ribosomal RNA", at positions 524 to 776 of the family's 1533-position model. The record is from RNAcentral.